UCGUGUGUGCAAUUCACAACAGGGUUC
Molecule: non-coding RNA, 27 nt
Filed under: Homo sapiens (human)
Lineage: Eukaryota; Metazoa; Chordata; Mammalia; Primates; Hominidae
Source: RNAcentral